Ziziphus jujuba (common jujube) is the source of this 594-nucleotide long non-coding RNA. RefSeq lists it as uncharacterized. The record is from RefSeq and is a predicted model, not a curated record. The transcript is spliced from 4 exons. NCBI's taxonomy places the organism in Eukaryota, Viridiplantae, Streptophyta, Magnoliopsida, Rosales, Rhamnaceae.
CUAUAAGAUGGGUUCUGAUUUAAUUUUUUGUUUAUUAUAAGUAUGCAUACUAAGAUCCGUUUGGCUGCUCUGAUUUGGUAAUUUUGAUUUAUAUGGAAAUUACUACAACAAAAAUUACUUUUAACCAAAUUUCUUGUUGAUUAAUUCUUUUUAUUUUGCAAGUUUCAGGUAGUAAGCAUCCGGUGAAGGUGAAAGCAACUUAAUUUCCUUCUUGUACUUAUCAAAGCAAGGUAUAUUGGUGUAUUGGUAGUAGAAACUUUGGGUAUUUUAUAGAGACAAUUAUGGUGUAGGAGUUUGGCCUUGAUUACCCCAAGGGAAGAAUACACAUGGAAAUGAAUUAUAAGCUGGCAUUUAGGGCUGCAGAGGCUGCUUUUAAGUUAUUAUGGAGGUUGGAGCUCCUUUAAAUACUUACACCAUCCUGGUGUGCAGGGAAAUGAAAGCAGUGUAAAAACAAAAAACAAAAGGAAAAAAAAAAAAGUUCACAUUUAUAGGUGUGAAAGACUUCUGUGGUGGGAUUCGGAAGAUAAUCACCUCAUCUCGGGUUGAUUGGUGCUUGGUCACUUAUAAUCUUAAUUAUACGAAAGAUUAUUGGUU